This 891-nucleotide ribosomal RNA is filed under the name uncultured bacterium. Its description in RNAcentral is "bacterial SSU rRNA". It matches the Rfam family "Bacterial small subunit ribosomal RNA", at positions 505 to 1397 of the family's 1533-position model. The record is from RNAcentral.
GUGCCAGCAGCCGCGGUAAUACGGAGGAUGCGAGCGUUAUCCGGAUUUAUUGGGUUUAAAGGGUGCGUAGGCGGACUGUCAAGUCAGCGGUAAAAUUUCCGGGCUCAACCUGGUCCUGCCGUUGAAACUGACGGACUAGAGUGCGCUUGAGGUAGGCGGAAUGCGUUGUGUAGCGGUGAAAUGCAUAGAUAUGACGCAGAACUCCGAUUGCGAAGGCAGCUUACCAAAUCGCAACUGACGCUGAGGCACGAAAGCGUGGGGAUCGAACAGGAUUAGAUACCCUGGUAGUCCACGCAGUAAACGAUGAAUGCUAAUUGUUCGAAGGGUGACCUUUGAGUGAUACAGCGAAAGCGUUAAGCAUUCCACCUGGGGAGUACGCCGGCAACGGUGAAACUCAAAGGAAUUGACGGGGGCCCGCACAAGCGGAGGAACAUGUGGUUUAAUUCGAUGAUACGCGAGGAACCUUACCCGGGCUCAAACGCCUGUUGAAUUACGGUGAAAGUCGUAAGUCAGCAAUGACAAUAGGCGAGGUGCUGCAUGGUUGUCGUCAGCUCGUGCCGUGAGGUGUCGGCUUAAGUGCCAUAACGAGCGCAACCCCUGCAUUUGGUUGCCAGCGAGUCAAGUCGGGCACUCCGAAUGGACUGCCAGCGCAAGCUGUGAGGAAGGCGGGGAUGACGUCAAAUCAGCACGGCCCUUACGUCCGGGGCGACACACGUGUUACAAUGGCGUGGAACAGAGGGAAGCCACCUGGCGACAGGGAGCGGAACCCGAAAACACGUCUCAGUUCGGAUUGGAGUCUGCAACUCGACUCCAUGAAGCUGGAUUCGCUAGUAAUCGCGCAUCAGCCAUGGCGCGGUGAAUACGUUCCCGGGCCUUGUACACACCGCCCGU